This is a long non-coding RNA of Haliotis rubra (blacklip abalone), 154 nucleotides long. RefSeq lists it as uncharacterized. Lineage: Eukaryota; Metazoa; Mollusca; Gastropoda; Lepetellida; Haliotidae. The transcript is spliced from 2 exons. The record is from RefSeq and is a predicted model, not a curated record.
AUCUUAGCGCUAAGAGAGCUUGGAAAAUCUAGGCCCAGUUCCCUAAAAUGAUCUUAGCACUUACGACUAUCUUAACGCUAAGAGAGCUUCGAAAAUCUAGGCCCAGUUCCCUAAAAUGAUCUUAGCACUUACGACUAUCUUAACUUUGCGCAAA